This 700-nucleotide ribosomal RNA is filed under the name Microbacterium ginsengiterrae. RNAcentral's name for it is "bacterial SSU rRNA". It matches the Rfam family "Bacterial small subunit ribosomal RNA", at positions 305 to 1014 of the family's 1533-position model. The record is from RNAcentral. Lineage: Bacteria; Bacillati; Actinomycetota; Actinomycetes; Micrococcales; Microbacteriaceae.
CGGCCACACUGGGACUGAGACACGGCCCAGACUCCUACGGGAGGCAGCAGUGGGGAAUAUUGCACAAUGGGCGAAAGCCUGAUGCAGCAACGCCGCGUGAGGGAUGACGGCCUUCGGGUUGUAAACCUCUUUUAGCAGGGAAGAAGCGAAAGUGACGGUACCUGCAGAAAAAGCGCCGGCUAACUACGUGCCAGCAGCCGCGGUAAUACGUAGGGCGCAAGCGUUAUCCGGAAUUAUUGGGCGUAAAGAGCUCGUAGGCGGUUUGUCGCGUCUGCUGUGAAAUCCCGAGGCUCAACCUCGGGCCUGCAGUGGGUACGGGCAGACUAGAGUGCGGUAGGGGAGAUUGGAAUUCCUGGUGUAGCGGUGGAAUGCGCAGAUAUCAGGAGGAACACCGAUGGCGAAGGCAGAUCUCUGGGCCGUAACUGACGCUGAGGAGCGAAAGGGUGGGGAGCAAACAGGCUUAGAUACCCUGGUAGUCCACCCCGUAAACGUUGGGAACUAGUUGUGGGGUCCAUUCCACGGAUUCCGUGACGCAGCUAACGCAUUAAGUUCCCCGCCUGGGGAGUACGGCCGCAAGGCUAAAACUCAAAGGAAUUGACGGGGACCCGCACAAGCGGCGGAGCAUGCGGAUUAAUUCGAUGCAACGCGAAGAACCUUACCAAGGCUUGACAUAUACGAGAACGGGCCAGAAAUGGUCAAC